AUGUACCACGUACCUCCAAAUGUCGGUGACUGUUAUUACCUACGAAUGCUUCUUAUGUAUGUGAAAGCAGCUGAGUCGUACGAAGAUGUGAGAACCUUUGAAGGUAUUGUAUAUGACACAUUUAAAGAAGCGUGUUCUGCAAGAGGUUUGUUAGGUGAUGAUCAAGAGUGGAUAAAAGCUUUUGAUGAAGCUGUUCGCUGGGGUAUGGGCCGACAGAUUCACUCACUUUUCGUUAUGAUGUUUAUCUACUGUGGUAUAGGUGACGAGCGUGCUUUUUUUGAAAAAUAUUGGCAAGCUAUGGGCGAUGAUAUAGUAUACAACUUGCGACGCAAUUUAAAUAAUAAGUCAUACAAUGUGCCCGAUGACUCUUUAAAACACAUGGUUCUACAAGAACUGCAUGAAUUGUUCCUAAAAAAUGGUCAUAGCCCAUCGAAUUACAACUUGCCUCCUCUUGUUGACAGCAGUUCAGAUGCAUUUGAAAAUUGA
Molecule: ribosomal RNA, 486 nt
Filed under: Triticum aestivum (bread wheat)
Lineage: Eukaryota; Viridiplantae; Streptophyta; Magnoliopsida; Poales; Poaceae
Description: partial small subunit ribosomal RNA
Source: RNAcentral